UACGGAGGGGGCAAGCGUUGUUCGGAUUUACUGGGCGUAAAGGGCGCGUAGGCGGCCACCGCAAGUCGACUGUGAAAUCUCCGGGCUUAACUCGGAAAGGUCAGCCGAUACUGCGGGGCUAGAGUGCAGAAGGGGCAACUGGAAUUCUCGGUGUAGCGGUGAAAUGCGUAGAUAUCGAGAGGAACACCUGCGGCGAAGGCGGGUUGCUGGGCUGACACUGACGCUGAUUGUGCGAAAGCUAGGGGAGCGAACGGG
This 255-nucleotide ribosomal RNA is filed under the name uncultured bacterium. Its description in RNAcentral is "partial 16S ribosomal RNA". It matches the Rfam family "Bacterial small subunit ribosomal RNA", at positions 524 to 776 of the family's 1533-position model. The record is from RNAcentral.